This 351-nucleotide unclassified non-coding RNA is filed under the name soil metagenome. RNAcentral's name for it is "partial contains 5.8S ribosomal RNA, internal transcribed spacer 2, and large subunit ribosomal RNA". The stretch from base 1 to 120 matches the Rfam family "5.8S ribosomal RNA", at positions 35 to 154 of the family's 154-position model. The record is from RNAcentral.
GAUGAAGAACGUAGCGAAAUGCGAUAAGUAAUGUGAAUUGCAGAAUUCAGUGAAUCAUCGAAUCUUUGAACGCACAUUGCGCCGGCCAGUAUUCUGGCGGGCAUGCCUGUCUGAGCGUCAUUUCAACCCUCAGCCCCCGCUCGCGGGGCGCUGGCGUUGGGGAUCGGCCGUCCUCGCGGCGGCCGGCCCCGAAACACAGUGGCGGUCUCUCGCGGACUCCCCUGCGUAGUAGCACUACCUCGCAGUAGGGACGAGCGGGCUGACCACGCCGUAAAACCCCCCACUUCUCCAGGUUGACCUCAGAUCAGGUAGGAAUACCCGCUGAACUUAAGCAUAUCAAUAAGCGGAGGA